Dreissena polymorpha is the source of this 312-nucleotide long non-coding RNA. RefSeq lists it as uncharacterized. The transcript is spliced from 2 exons. The record is from RefSeq and is a predicted model, not a curated record. Lineage: Eukaryota; Metazoa; Mollusca; Bivalvia; Myida; Dreissenidae.
CGGUCGGUCUGUCGGUCUGUCCGUCCGUCCACCAGGUGGUUGUCAGACGAUAACUCAAGAACGCUUGGGCCUAGGAUCAUGAAACUUCAUAGGUACAUUGAUCAUGACUCGCAGAUGACCCCUAUUGAUUUUGAGGUCACUAGGUCAAAGGUCAAGGUCACGGUGACCCGAAAUAGUAAAAUGGUUUCCGGAUGAUAACUCAAGAAUGCAUACGCCUAGGAUCAUGAAACUUCAUGGGUAGAUUGAUCAUAACUCGCAGAUGACCCCUAUUGAUUUUGAGGUCACUAGGUCAAAGGUCAAGGUCACGGUGAC